UACGUAGGUGGCAAGCGUUGUCCGGAUUUACUGGGCGUAAAGAGCGCGCAGGCGGUCGUGCAAGUCGCGUGUGAAAGCCCCCGGCUCAACUGGGGAGGGUCACGCGAUACUGCUCGACUCGAAGGCAGGAGAGGGAAGUGGAAUUCCAGGUGUAGCGGUGAAAUGCGUAGAUAUCUGGAGGAACACCGGUGGCGAAGGCGACAUCCUGGACCGGUAUUGACGCUGAGGCGCGAAAGCCAGGGGAGCAAACGGG
This 253-nucleotide ribosomal RNA is filed under the name uncultured bacterium. RNAcentral describes it as "partial 16S ribosomal RNA". It matches the Rfam family "Bacterial small subunit ribosomal RNA", at positions 524 to 776 of the family's 1533-position model. The record is from RNAcentral.